CCUACGGGAGGCAGCAGUGAGGAAUAUUGGUCAAUGGACGAGAGUCUGAACCAGCCAAGUAGCGUGAAGGAUGACUGCCCUAUGGGUUGUAAACUUCUUUUAUAAAGGAAUAAAACGAGGCACGUGUGCCUUUUUGCAUGUACCUUAUGAAUAAGGAUCGGCUAACUCCGUGCCAGCAGCCGCGGUAAUACGGAGGAUCCGAGCGUUAUCCGGAUUUAUUGGGUUUAAAGGGAGCGUAGAUGGGUUGUUAAGUCAGGUGUGAAAGUUUGCGGCUCAACCGUAAAAUUGCAAUUGAUACUGGCAGGCUGGAGUACAGUUGAGGUAGGCGGAAUGCGUGGUGUAGCGGUGAAAUGCUUAGAUAUCACGAAGAACCCCGAUUGCGAAGGCAGCAUACUAAACUGUGACUGACAUUGAUGCACGAAAGUGUGGGUAUCAAACAGGAUUAGAUACCCCAGUAGUC
RNAcentral lists this ribosomal RNA (460 nucleotides) under uncultured bacterium. RNAcentral's name for it is "partial 16S ribosomal RNA". It matches the Rfam family "Bacterial small subunit ribosomal RNA", at positions 338 to 795 of the family's 1533-position model. The record is from RNAcentral.